CCUACGGGAGGCAGCAGUGGGGAAUAUUGCACAAUGGGGGAAACCCUGAUGCAGCGACGCCGCGUGAGUGAAGAAGUAUUUCGGUAUGUAAAGCUCUAUCAGCAGGGAAGAAGAAAGACGGUACCUGACUAAGAAGCCCCGGCUAACUACGUGCCAGCAGCCGCGGUCAUACGUAGGGGGCAAGCGUUAUCCGGAUUUACUGGGUGUAAAGGGAGCGUAGACGGCUGUGCAAGUCUGAAGUGAAAGCCCAGGGCUCAACCCUGGGACUGCUUUGGAAACUGUGGAGCUAGAGUGCUGGAGAGGUAAGUGGAAUUCCUAGUGUAGCGGUGAAAUGCGUAGAUAUUAGGAAGAACACCAGUGGCGAAGGCGGCUUUCUGGACUGAAACUGACGCUGAGGCACGAAAGCGUGGGGAGCGAACAGGAUUAGAUACCCUUGUAGUC
RNAcentral lists this ribosomal RNA (441 nucleotides) under uncultured bacterium. RNAcentral describes it as "partial 16S ribosomal RNA". It matches the Rfam family "Bacterial small subunit ribosomal RNA", at positions 338 to 795 of the family's 1533-position model. The record is from RNAcentral.